AGUUCUGUCCAGGGCCAAACAUGAAAACCUGGUCGCUCUACAAGGUUAUUGCGUCCAUGAUAGCGCACGUAUACUUAUUUACUCGUUCAUGGAGAACGGAAGUCUUGAUUAUUGGCUGCAUGAAAAUCCCGAGGGUCCAGCCCAACUGGAUUGGCCAAAAAGACUUCACAUUGUCAGGGGGGCAAGUUGUGGACUAGCAUACAUGCACCAGAUAUGUGAACCACACAUAGUGCACCGAGAUAUCAAGUCCAGCAACAUCCUUUUGGAUGGAAAUUUCAAGGCGUACCUGGCAGAUUUCGGGUUGUCAAGAUUGAUCCUUCCAUAUCGCACCCAUGUUACAACUGAGCUUGUGGGCACAUUGGGUUACAUUCCCCCAGAGUAUGGACAAGCAUGGGUAGCCACUUUGAG
This 408-nucleotide long non-coding RNA is filed under the name Eutrema salsugineum. Its description in RNAcentral is "long non-coding RNA (ESAL_LNC000052)". Lineage: Eukaryota; Viridiplantae; Streptophyta; Magnoliopsida; Brassicales; Brassicaceae. The record is from RNAcentral.